UGGGGAAUAUUGCACAAUGGGCGAAAGCCUGAUGCAGCAACGCCGCGUGAGGGAAGACGGUUUUCGGAUUGUAAACCUCUGUUUUCGGUGACGAACAAAUGACGGUAACCGAGUAGGAAGCUCCGGCUAACUGCGUGCCAGCAGCCGCGGUAAUACGUAGGGAGCGAGCGUUAUCCGGAUUUACUGGGUGUAAAGGGCGAGUAGGCGGAUCGGUAAGUCAGAUGUGAAAUGUCGGGGCUUAACCCCGGAACUGCAUUUGAAACUGCUGACCUUGAGUGAUGGAGAGGCAGGCGGAAUUCCCAGUGUAGCGGUGAAAUGCGUAGAUAUUGGGAGGAACACCAGUGGCGAAGGCGGCCUGCUGGACAUUAACUGACGCUGAGGAGCGAAAGCGUGGGGAGCAAACAGGAUUAGAUACCCUGGUAGU
This 424-nucleotide ribosomal RNA is filed under the name uncultured Butyricicoccus sp. RNAcentral describes it as "bacterial SSU rRNA". It matches the Rfam family "Bacterial small subunit ribosomal RNA", at positions 355 to 794 of the family's 1533-position model. The record is from RNAcentral. Lineage: Bacteria; Bacillati; Bacillota; Clostridia; Eubacteriales; Butyricicoccaceae.